Perca flavescens (yellow perch) is the source of this 1461-nucleotide long non-coding RNA. RefSeq lists it as uncharacterized. The transcript has 3 exons. The record is from RefSeq and is a predicted model, not a curated record. Lineage: Eukaryota; Metazoa; Chordata; Actinopteri; Perciformes; Percidae.
GGAGGAGGUACACAAACUCCCUGAGAACAGGAGUUAGUAAGGGGGAGAAAGUGGACACACACCGCAGGGGCAACAGUUGCUGUAGGCCUACAGUACAGAAACGGCUGCUGAUACGCCGAGUCAAAUUAUCUCACACAACACCUAUAGCGCUGGUCUCUCAGUCUGAACUUGAGCAGGCUCAUUAGAGGAAGAGCUGUAGACAAGGAGGCAAACAAGCGUCAGAAAAUCAUAUGAGAGCAGUGAGAAGAGGGGGAGGGUGAAAACAAGAAGCCGGAGUAGUGGUCUGUGAAACAUCGUGGGGACGGUUUUGUGUACAGCUGAAUUUGGUUCUCCUUGCAAAGACGAAUUAACAAGUGGAAACAGUGACACAAAUAAGUGGAGCACACAUUCACGGCAGAGGUGUAGCUGUGUGAGCUCUGUAAAGGCCUGUUUGCCUCCCUGAAAGCCAAACCUGAGGCAUUUGUUUUCCUAUCUCUGUGUGGGACCUGCAUCCGAGAGUCAGCAUGGUUAAUCAUGAGGUGGUGGAUAUUCUUCAGAAGGUGUUGAUCAAACUGCAGAAUCUCCCACAUGCCACUCCUCUGGAGCUGGGAGCCUUCUUGGUGCUCAUCCUGUUUGUUGCCACGUUUCUCUUGUUGGUUGUGCUGUCCUGCUUCCACUGCUGCUGCUGUGGAAAGUCAAAAUACCAGGCCACCAGAGUACAGCCUGUCUAAGGAUGAGACAGAGAACACACUCCGUCCUUCCUUCCAUCCUUCAUGUAAUCACCCACACACACACCGUUACAUAACCGGAAAUGCGCCUUUUCAGAGUCAUUGAUUUCUUGGAGGAAAUCAUACAAAUAAAAUUCAUCAACUCAAGGAUGGGGACUUAUUUGCAUAAUAUUUCCAGUUUUGGGACAAAGACUGGAUGUACAUUCCAGAGAGAGAGAGAGAGAGAGAGAGACAUGCCACUGGAAUCCAUAUAAAUCAGAAGAGUGGCACGACUCAUCAAGAUUCAUUUCAGACCAGUACAAUGCAACACUGUGUGGCAGCCUUGUACAACAACAAAAACCUAACAGUGGAGCAAGGGAUUUAAAAAAGGAAGAGUAAGAAAGCUGAUUUGUGUUUGAAUGUCACCAUGACUCCGUUAUUAGAAUAAACUGGUUUGGUAUCCUGUUGAUAUUCAUCAAGGAUAUGAAAAACAACAUGGAAUAUGUACAGACAUUUUAACUUGCGUUUGUGUAGAAACUAUCCAGUGUAAAAAGACAGUGCGCCCUCUGCUGGCUCAGUGAAGAGUGUCUCUUUUAUUUUUGCUAAUUGUGCCAAUGGAAAAAAAUAGCUUUUUAUUGUUUGACAUACAGUUACAAAUUAUUCUUGUUAUAUCGUUACAUAGUGUUUUUUUUGUCCUUUUUACCGAGGCAUUGCCAUAUUGCAUUUGUUGAUGUAACUGAAAUGUAAUAAAUGUUCAAUAUAUAUCAAAAUCAAA